Long non-coding RNA from Canis lupus familiaris (dog), 4469 nucleotides. RefSeq lists it as uncharacterized. The transcript is spliced from 3 exons. NCBI's taxonomy places the organism in Eukaryota, Metazoa, Chordata, Mammalia, Carnivora, Canidae. The record is from RefSeq and is a predicted model, not a curated record.
UCAGCACAUUACCAAAAUGAAAGUACAAUCAACCAGAAUGGGUGGCAAAAUGGUAGGGUUACUGGGCUCCUCGACCCAGCCCUAGAGGAAUACAGAAGCAAGAAGGCAGUAUGGGUUAUAGGAACUAAUACACACAGAAAACACAGAUGCUCGAGAAAACUCUCAAGGAACCGAAGCUUUUUCUAACUGGAGUAGGUGUGCUGGAGGUUGAUGACUAACUGUGGCCAAUGAGAACCCAAACCAGCAGGAAGAGGAGAAAAACCUCUAGGAAAUCUCAUCAGCUAACGGGGGAGCUGAUCUGGGCUCAGACAGGACAAUCUGCCGUGCUAUUGCCAUGACUAGUACUGCCUCUAGCUGCUGCCUUUUCUGGUCAUCGUGGGACAAAUGAAAGCAGGCCAGUAUGAUUUUUUUUUUUUUUUGUUUCAUUUCUCCUGACUGGUCUUGGAAUGGAAAAUGCUACCAGGUUCUUGAACUGGCUCCUCUCCUUGGGUAUCCUUUUUGUACCAACCAGAAGAAAAUGUAUUUCCUGCUCUGGGCUAGGUCCUGCAGUUACAGCCUUCCAGAGGCAUAACAGUGUCCCCGAAAUCGGUUGGUGAUGGUGUCAUCCAGGGCCUGAUCGACCUUGACUUUUGGUUUUCUUUGAAGCUUCCCACGUAUGGCCUGUGUGUGAGUGUAGAUGCGUGUAGGUUGUGUUCAUGGGUUACGGGUAUCUUCUGACAUCUAAGACCUGUUACGACAAAAUAUAACCUUUGCACAUUUUCUGAAGACAAGGGGAAAAAAGCAGUUCAAAAUUUUAUCUGGACGGGUGUAUUUAUAGCUGUGCCUUUUUUUAUCUGACAAUGUUCCUUGGGUAAUUGGUUCCUUUGUUAGUUUUCAGAGCGAUGACACACAAAUAAAUUAGCAUUUCCACCUCAACUGCCUCUUUGGCAAGAAUAGAGGUUCUCAUGUCAAGGUAAAUAAAGAGGGAGGCAGGGAUCCAGAAAGACUAGAGAAAUGGGAGCCUUACUGAGCAAUUUAUGUGCCGACAUGUCCCUUUCAUGUUAACAGCUACAUAAAAGGAAGAAUGAGAAAAAGAAAAGGAAAAAAAAAAAACAUUGCUUUAUGGUGAAUAAGAAAAAAAACAUCCGUGUGGCUCAGAUGUGUCGUGUGUAGAGAUACUUGGGUCACUGACGUCUUCCCAGCCCGAUCUUCUGAAAGCACCCAGCUUUUGACCUGCCCCUGACUUCACAAGGUGUGACCUGUAGUCAAGGUCUCCUGCAGGUCCUGGAAUUCUUGAGUCAGCAAGUUCAUUCACCUCAGCGUUCCGGGUCCUAACUCUUACCUGUUUGUAUAAUUAACUGCUAAUGUAGCGACGUUCCGACGUGGAUUGUAUCAGGAAAGUGACAGAGCAGUUGAAGAGCACGUCAACAUCGGAUCUAACAAGUCAUCCGAUUCUUAGCGGCGUUGUUGUUACAGGGUUUCUUUUCCCUCCACGUCCUUGGGUCUCGGUCACACCACUUCCAAGAAGGACGAGGUAGACCAGACGAACACUGAUGGGCAGCAAAGUUGAUCGAGCGAUAGUAAAAUUUCUCCAGUGAUAGCACAAAGCUCCCGAAGAGAGAGGGGGCCCGAGAGAGUUGCCAGUUUGGUGUUUAGAUCUAGGGGUGUUUAUGGGGUCGUUGGCGGGCUGUUUUCAUCUGACUCACUUCUCAACUCACUGGAUGCAACUACUGCUGGAUGCAACACAGCUACUGUGUGCUAGGCGCUAGUCUGGAUGUUGGGAUGCAACAUUGAACAAGAUACAGGUUUUUGUCACCUACCGAUCACGUGGGAAAGGGAGGAGGGCUCCUUCCAGGGUGGUGUCAAACCCUUUGACGGGUGGUUUUCUCUUCGGGUGGGGGCCCCUUGUCCCUGCCUGCCUUCUUCCAACUAUCCUUCAUUAGUACCCUCGAAAGAACACUUGUUAUGUUCUACACUCAUGGUGUUAACAUGCGAUUUGCCUGCAUGAUUUGACCUUGGACAAAAAUUUUUAAACCUCCUUGAUUCUCAAUUUCAACAUCUGUACAUUGAGGGAAAGCAUUUGCUUUCUGGAGUAUCAUUUAUUCACGGCACAAAUGUCAUGAAGUAGCUACUGUGCGCUAGGCGCUAGUCCGGAUGUUGGGAUGCAAUGUUGAACAAGAUACGCCAAGUCCCUAUCCCCGUGAAGGUUGCCUUCUAGAUGGGGGAGACAGGCAAUAAGUAAUUAAGUGAACCGAUUCUGAUAGUCUUACGUGUCGCGUAGGAUCCAACAGUCGGCAUGCCUUGGCAGAUGGAAGCAGCCCUCCAUCAGAUAGGGCGAUCGGAGCAGGCGUCCCCGGGGACGUGAUCUGGAGGCUGACCUGAUGAUAGAAUGGCAUUAGCCUUGUGAGGGAUGAGGUCAAGAGUGUUCUAUGGUGGGGAAUACAAAAUGCAAAGGUCCUGAGGUAGGACAGAGUAUUUAAGAAACAGAGACUGGCUUUACAGGAUGGCAAGGUCCCAAUCGUGUAAUUUGUUUGAGCCGUCGUUAAGGAUUUGGACAUUCUCUAAGUGCUACGGAAAUCACUGGAGACUUUUAAGAAGUGUAAUUACAUGGUUUGAUCUGUAUUUUUACAAGCUAACUGCCGUGUAGACGAUGGACUAUGGAACAGAUGUUAAGGAUGAUAGCAGGGAGAACACUUAGGAAGCUUUAGCUGUGUUCUAAGUAAGGUGACGGAGGCUGGGAGUCGUGAAGAAGUCGCAAUGGAAACAGAGAUAAACAGAUGGGUCUGGAAUGUAUUUGGAAGGUAAAAAUGAUAAAACUUGCUGAUAGGUUGAAUGUGAGGGGCUAAGGAGAAAUCCGGGACAGUUCCUAGGUUCUUGGCUUGACAAGAAGAUUCCAUCAGAUAAGACAAGAUUCUAGAAGAAACUGGUUCGAGCCAAGAGGCUAAGCAUUCCGGGUUGGGCAUGUGAAGUUUAGGCUGCAAGUUAGGCUCCAGGUAGAGAUACUGCAUAUGUACCUAAGAAUAAGAGGCAGAAAAUGCAACCUGGAGCUUAGGGCACAGCUCUGGGCUGGGGGUGCAGAUCUGGGAAUCACUGGCUUUGCUGGAACAGACGAUUCAUGGGGAAAGAAUGAACAGGGAAUGGAAACGGUCCAGGAUGAGCCCUAGGGCACUCCAGCAUUUAGACACUAUCUUGCCAAGAAGGGGUCAGCAGAAGAGCUGGGGAAGGAGUAGCUAGCAGAGGGAAAACACAACAGGGUUGACACGUCCAGGGAGGGGUUAACUGUGUUUGUUGCUCCUGAGCGGUGAAUAUGAGGAUGGAGAAGUGACUCAACAGGAGAGCAUUUCACAAGACCAAUGAGGACAAAGGCCAUACCGGAGUGGAUUGUUGAGACAAUUCCAAUCCGCACAAAGUCUGUGUCGGGUGUACAGUAUGUGUUUACUGUGAUGGUAAAAAAUGCUGAGAAAGAAUUAGCUGUUGGGUUUUGUGGAUCGCCUGUAACAGCCAUUCUCCUGGCCUCCUUCCUCCCGUUCUCUAAUUCCCUUUCCUGGAAGACCCCUCCCCACCGCGUGUUAGGUUUUCCACUCUCCCGACUUCUGAGGAUGAGCCAUUGUUAGUCUAGGUCAUUCUUGGUGAUGUCAUUCCUCUUGCCAGUGACUAGUUUAGGCCACAGCAUGCGACCCUAUCGGAGAGGGAGCCUGGUGAGGGCUUCUGGCAGAGGUUUCCUAUGCUAAUAAACCGAUAUUCAUGGGAAGAAAUGCCUCUCUCCCUCACAAAACAUCAGGGCAUCAAUUUGGCAUGUCUGGAGUUGCUGUAGCCAUGCUCCUGGGGCUGGGAGGGGAGCCCUCACGGGUACGCUGCAGAUCGCAGAGCAGAAGGAUGCAAACAGUCUUUGUAGACCUAGAUCUCAGUCUCAUGGCAGGACUAAGACAAUCGUCAAAUAAAUGCUUCUCUGGAUAUGGGUCCCACAAAGGCCCCGUGUGAGUGCCGAUGUUACGGAUGAAGUACCGAGUGCUACACGCCGUCCUAAGCUCUACUUAUCUUUUGCAGCUGAGUAGACUGAGACCAAGGGAAGUGAAGUGACUGGUCUAGGGGCAUAUGGCCAGUAGGAUGUGGAGUGAGGAUUCCACCCCCGGGACGGUGGUCAUGGUUGGUAGGUCAGACCCAACAGGGCACCUGCAAAUAAACAUGUGGUGUUAGCCAUCUGUGUUUAAAAUGAUGGGUUGUUUUAGAUUAUCUCCUGAUGGUGGCAGCUGAUGUGAGACCGAGUCAACGAGUGGGCCUGGGGAUGCUGAGCAAGUGUGUCAGCAAGGCUUGGGCAGGACGCACACUGGAAAUACUGGAAUCCAGUUUCCAAAGAUUGACUUAUUGUAUUGGCACAAGGGAAUGCCCGAGUUGUAUACAUUGCUAAUUUUAAAAUAUUCCAUUUUUGGGGAUUUUUUUCAAAGAUUUUAUUUAUUUAUUCAUUCAUGAUAGAGAGAGAGAGAGAGAGA